RNAcentral lists this ribosomal RNA (548 nucleotides) under uncultured bacterium. RNAcentral's name for it is "partial 16S ribosomal RNA". It matches the Rfam family "Bacterial small subunit ribosomal RNA", at positions 355 to 889 of the family's 1533-position model. The record is from RNAcentral.
UGGGGAAUUUUGGACAAUGGGCGAAAGCCUGAUCCAGCAAUGCCGCGUGUGUGAAGAAGGCCUUCGGGUUGUAAAGCACUUUUGUCCGGAAAGAAAUCCUUGGCUCUAAUACAGUCGGGGGAUGACGGAACCGGAAGAAUAAGCACCGGCUAACUACGUGCCAGCAGCCGCGGUAAUACGUAGGGUGCAAGCGUUAAUCGGAAUUACUGGGCGUAAAGCGUGCGCAGGCGGUUUGCUAAGACCGAUGUGAAAUCCCCGGGCUCAACCUGGGAACUGCAUUGGUGACUGGCAGGCUAGAGUAUGGCAGAGGGGGGUAGAAUUCCACGUGUAGCAGUGAAAUGCGUAGAGAUGUGGAGGAAUACCGAUGGCGAAGGCAGCCCCCUGGGGCCAAAUACUGACGCUCAUGCACGAAAAGCGUGGGGGAGCAAAACAGGAUUAGAUACCCUGGUAGUCCACGCCCUAAAACGAUGUCAACUAGUUGUUGGGGAUUCAUUUCCUUAGUAACGUAGCUAACGCGUGAAGUUGACCGCCUGGGGGAGUACGGUCGC